This 497-nucleotide ribosomal RNA is filed under the name uncultured bacterium. RNAcentral describes it as "partial 16S ribosomal RNA". It matches the Rfam family "Bacterial small subunit ribosomal RNA", at positions 28 to 507 of the family's 1533-position model. The record is from RNAcentral.
GAUGAACGCUGGCGGCGUGCCUAAUACAUGCAAGUCGAGCGAACGGACGAGAAGCUUGCUUCUCUGAUGUUAGCGGCGGACGGGUGAGUAACACGUGGAUAACCUACCUAUAAGACUGGGAUAACUUCGGGAAACCGGAGCUAAUACCGGAUGAUAUUUUGAACCGCAUGGUUCAAAAGUGAAAGACGGUCUUGCUGUCACUUAUAGAUGGAUCCGCGCUGCAUUAGCUAGUUGGUAAGGUAACGGCUUACCAAGGCAACGAUGCAUGGCCGACCUGAGAGGGUGAUCGGCCACACUGGAACUGAGACACGGUCCAGACUCCUACGGUAGGCAGCAGUCGGGAAUCUUCCGCAAUGGGCGAAAGCCUGACGGAGCAACGCCGCGUGAGUGAUGAAGGUCUUCGGAUCGUAAAACUCUGUUAUUAGGGAAGAACAUAUGUGUAAGUAACUGUGCACAUCUUGACGGUACCUAAUCAGAAAGCCACGGCUAACUACGUG